Molecule: ribosomal RNA, 497 nt
Filed under: uncultured bacterium
Lineage: Bacteria
Description: partial 16S ribosomal RNA
Rfam family: Bacterial small subunit ribosomal RNA
Source: RNAcentral
GAUGAACGCUGGCGGCGUGCCUAAUACAUGCAAGUCGAGCGAACGGACGCUAAGCUUGCUUCUCUGAUGUUAGCGGCGGACGGGUGAGUAACACGUGUAUCACCCACCUAUAAUACUGGUAUAACUUCGGGAAACCGGAUCUAAUACCGGAUAAUAUUCUGAACCGUGUUGUUCAAAAGUGAAAUACGGUCUUGCUGUCUCUUAUAGAUGGAUCUGCGCUGCAUUAGCUAGUUGGUAAGGUAACGGCUUACCAAGGCAACGAUGCAUAGCCGACCUGAGAGGGUGAUAGGCGACACUGGAACUGAGACACGGUCCAGACUCCUACGGGAGGCAGCAGUAGGGAAUCUGACGCAAUGGGCGAGAGCAUGGCGGAGCAACGCCGCGUGAGAGAUGAAGGUCUUCGGAUCGUAAAACUCUGUUAUUAGGGAAGAACAUAUGUGUAAGUAGAUGUGCACAUAUUGACGGUACCUAAUAAGAAAGCCACGGCUAACUACGUG